AUUGAACGCUGGCGGCAGGCUUAACACAUGCAAGUCGAGCGAGCGGCGGACUGGUGAGUAAUGUCUGGGAAACUGCCUGAUGGAGGGGGAUAAAUACUGGAAACGGUAGCUAAUACCGCAUACCAUCAGAUGUGCCCAGAUGGGAUUAGCUAGUAGGUGGGGUAAUGGCUCACCUAGGCGACGAUCCCUAGCUGGGCUGGGAGGAUUACCAUGCACACUGGGACUGGGAGACGGUACCUACUCCGAAGGGAGGGCGCAGUGGGGAACAUUGCACAAUGGGCGCAAGCCUGAUGCAGCCAUGGCGCGUGUGUGAAGAAGGUCCUCGGGGUGUAAAGCACUUUCAGCGAGGAGGCGUUACUCGCAGAAGAAGCACCGGCUAACUCCGUGCCAGCAGCCGCGGUAAUAC
RNAcentral lists this ribosomal RNA (406 nucleotides) under uncultured bacterium. Its description in RNAcentral is "partial 16S ribosomal RNA". It matches the Rfam family "Bacterial small subunit ribosomal RNA", at positions 30 to 526 of the family's 1533-position model. The record is from RNAcentral.